This 36-nucleotide transfer RNA is filed under the name Crotophaga ani. RNAcentral's name for it is "partial tRNA-Phe". Lineage: Eukaryota; Metazoa; Chordata; Aves; Cuculiformes; Crotophagidae. The record is from RNAcentral.
GAUGCCAAGAUGGUCAGCCUCACAUACCCAAGGACA